Molecule: long non-coding RNA, 290 nt
Organism: Phragmites australis (common reed)
Lineage: Eukaryota; Viridiplantae; Streptophyta; Magnoliopsida; Poales; Poaceae
Exons: 3
Source: RefSeq, a predicted model, not a curated record
AGUUGUUUUCACUGUUUGGUCCAUGAGCAGAUUGCCAGAAUACUGAGCUCAUCUUUUCUGGUUUCCCAGGUUCUUAUAAAUUAAGACCCCUUGUGUUAUUCGAUCUAGAAGGAAUUGGCGUUGAGCCAAAUUUGUUAUCCUUGAUCCUCAACAUGGCAUUUGAUCUCCUCCCGACACUACAUCCAAAAUCUAAACAUUGGGUAAUUUGCGUACGUGUUUCACGCAAAUGGGAAUAUCGUGCUGGCACUGAUGAUGGCCCAAUAGCGCAUGUGGACCUUGUCCUUGCAGAU